This is a long non-coding RNA of Onychostruthus taczanowskii (white-rumped snowfinch), 675 nucleotides long. RefSeq lists it as uncharacterized. The record is from RefSeq and is a predicted model, not a curated record. Lineage: Eukaryota; Metazoa; Chordata; Aves; Passeriformes; Passeridae. The transcript has 3 exons.
GUCAUCAUGACUGACUAGCAAGCUUUUUUUUUCUGACCAGGGGAUAUAAAAUUAUAGCAAGUAUUUUAUUUAUUUUUUGACUCUGUAGUAAAAUGAUAAUGCUUCUUUGCUUGACUUGUCAAGAACUUCCUUUGUUUAGAUUUAAUUUGAUAUGACUGAAUCCUCUAGAAAUAAUGCAUUUAAAAGAGAAGGCAACAGCUCAGAAGAUGGGCAUCUAUGCAAACAGCCAUGUUUCUGCCUGCUGCUGAGUGGAGGUGGCAAGGUGUUUGCUGAGGGAGAGGCAGAUCUCCCUACUGAUAUCAAGAGAAUCAGCUGAAAACAGGCCAAUAACAAUUUUUGGACUUUAAAGCAAGCUCUGUGGCUGUGCAGGAAGAAGGAGAUUUAGCAUUAUAAGCUACAAAUAAGAAACAAGUCAUUUGGAAAUAAAAGACUAGUCAAAGUGCAAAGAGGUUGUCUCAGGACAUGAUCUCUCUGAAAAAAAUGCCAAGAGAUUCACAAGCUGGACACAGAUCACUUGCUGAGUGUUUCAGGCUACUGUGAAGGUGUCAAAUGAAGACCACUUCAGGCAUCCAGGCAUCCAUAGCAAAGGCCCAGGGGCCAGAGAGACUGCGACCCUGCCCAACCUUUAAGCCACACUGUCUUGUGUGUCGAGGAUCAAAGGCAACAGAAAUAACA